GGUCGCGGGAAGCGUUGAGGGCGGCGCUGGCGGCCCGCCGGCCCUCGGGCCGCUGCAGCGCGGCGCAGGAUGCGCGGCGUGAGUCAGCGGCAGGAGAAGAAAGGGCUGCUCUUGUGUUUGAGACCCAGAAGGGCUGUGCCCGGCGCUUGGCCGUGCUACAACCUUCUGAUGUCAUGCAGCACAAGGUUAUUAUAUGCAAAAGCUGAAUUACUGUAAUAAGGGCAAGUUUAUUUCUUACGUUUCCUAACUUUAGUGCAUAGUUUUGCAACCUCUAUUUAACAUACUGGUUUUAUAUAGAAUUAUAUUUUCCUGUUAGUUCUUUCCCAUGUAAAUAAGCUCAAGGCUUUGAAUGGGAGUUGAAAAUGUGGUUGGUGGUUCGUACCAUGCCAUGGUAGCUGCUUGCAACAGCGUCAGUCUUUUCUGUUCUGCAAGGUGCAGCUUUCCUAAAAAAGCUUUUGCUUGAUCUGGAAGUUUGCGAAAGUUAUACACAAGGAUCUUAACUCCACUUAGGAUUUUUUUUUUUUUCUGCAGUUCUCUAAUGGUCUUGGCAAAAAGUAUUAACCCCAGAUCUGAAAUCCUACAGCUACUUGCUUUAACUACUAUUUCCACAGCUGUUUGAGAUGUGCUGUAUGUUCUGUUUCUUCGAAAAUUCAUUCAAAUACAUAUACAGCUUAGUAUGCCUGUGUCUCCAUGUUUAUACCCAUCCCAGUAUUAUCAGAGGACCCCAGUGUGGAAUCAUCUGAUUACCCCCUUUACUAUCAAGCUCUUUUCUACUGCAAGUAGCAGCAGUAUCCAGGCACUGUCCUGUACUUCAGUAAUGGAAAUUUCCCAGCCUUGAAGCACACUCAGUCAGCUGCAAUAAAACUCUGAGUGAUUUCAA
Long non-coding RNA from Tyto alba (common barn owl), 880 nucleotides. RefSeq lists it as uncharacterized. The transcript is spliced from 2 exons. The record is from RefSeq and is a predicted model, not a curated record. NCBI's taxonomy places the organism in Eukaryota, Metazoa, Chordata, Aves, Strigiformes, Tytonidae.